UACAGAGGUCUCAAGCGUUGUUCGGAUUCAUUGGGCGUAAAGGGUGCGUAGGCGGUGGGGCAAGUCGGAUGUGAAAUCCCGGGGCUCAACCCCGGAACGGCAUUCGAUACUGCUCUGCUCGAGUCCUGGAGAGGAGACUGGAAUUUACGGUGUAGCAGUGAAAUGCGUAGAGAUCGUAAGGAAGACCAGUGGCGAAGGCGAGUCUCUGGACAGGUACUGACGCUGAGGCACGAAGGCCAGGGGAGCAAACGGG
RNAcentral lists this ribosomal RNA (253 nucleotides) under uncultured bacterium. RNAcentral's name for it is "partial 16S ribosomal RNA". It matches the Rfam family "Bacterial small subunit ribosomal RNA", at positions 524 to 776 of the family's 1533-position model. The record is from RNAcentral.